CUCUGAUCUACCCCAGUACAUCUAAGCUCAGUGUUCUUGCUUGUCCCUACCUCAGGCCAGCAAAUUCCCCAGUUCAUCUUCAGACUGGCGGGUUCCUGGGCUGGGCCUGGAGAGUCGUGGGGAGCCUCCCACUCCUCCCAGCCCAGCUCCAGCUCCAGCCACAGGCCCUAGUGGAAGCAGCAGUGGCAGCAGUGAGGGCAGUAGUGGGAGGGCAGCUGGGGACACACCUGAGCGCAAGGAAGUGACUAGUUCCGGCAAGAAGAUGAAGGUGCGGCCCCCGCCCCUGAAGAAGACCUUUGACUCUGUGGACAAGUGAGCAGGGGCUGGGAUCUUGGCCGAGUGCCAAGGGCUGGUGGGAGAAGGGACAGCUACAGGUAGAGACAAAAGAGGUGACCCUGCUGGCACCCCAGCAGGGUCCUGUCAGAAGUGGACUUUGAAGAGCGGUUUGCUGAGCUGCCCGAGUUUAGACCAGAGGAGGUGCUGCCCUCACCCACCCUACAGUCUCUGGCCACCUCUCCUCGGGCUAUCCUUGGCUCCUACCGAAAGAAGAGGAAGAAUUCCACGGACCUGGACUCGGCGCCUGAGGAUCCCACUUCACCCAAGCGUAAGAUGAGGAGACGUUCGAGCUGCAGCUCAGAGCCCAACACCCCAAAGAGUGCCAAGUGCGAGGGGGACAUCUUCACCUUCGACCGCACAGGUACUGAAACGGAGGAUGUGCUUGGGGAGCUGGAGUAUGAGAAGGUGCCCUACUCAUCACUGCGGCGCACCCUGGACCAACGGCGGGCCCUGGUCAUGCAGCUCUUCCAGGACCAUGGCU
Molecule: long non-coding RNA, 817 nt
Filed under: Rattus norvegicus (Norway rat)
Lineage: Eukaryota; Metazoa; Chordata; Mammalia; Rodentia; Muridae
Description: long non-coding RNA NONRATT000483
Source: RNAcentral